CCUACGGGAGGCAGCAGUAGGGAAUCUUCCACAAUGGGCGAAAGCCUGAUGGAGCAACGCCGCGUGGGUGAAGAAGGUCUUCGGAUCGUAAAACCCUGUUGUUAGAGAAGAAAGUGCGUGAGAGUAACUGUUCACGUUUCGACGGUAUCUAACCAGAAAGCCACGGCUAACUACGUGCCAGCAGCCGCGGUAAUACGUAGGUGGCAAGCGUUAUCCGGAUUUAUUGGGCGUAAAGGGGCCGCGAGCGGUCUUUUAAGGUUGAUGUGAAAGCGUUGGGCCUAACCGGAGUAGUGCAUUGGAAACUGGGAGACUUGAGUGCAGAAGAGGUGAGUGGAACUCGAUGUGUAGCGGUGAAAUGCGUAGAUAUAUGGAAGAACACCAGUGGCGAAAGCGGCUCUCUGGUCUGUAACUGACGCUGAGGUUCGAAAGCGUGGGUAGCAAACAGGAUUAGAUACCCUUGUAGUC
RNAcentral lists this ribosomal RNA (465 nucleotides) under uncultured bacterium. Its description in RNAcentral is "partial 16S ribosomal RNA". It matches the Rfam family "Bacterial small subunit ribosomal RNA", at positions 338 to 795 of the family's 1533-position model. The record is from RNAcentral.